This 129-nucleotide small nucleolar RNA is filed under the name Colius striatus (speckled mousebird). RNAcentral's name for it is "Small Cajal body specific RNA 4". It matches the Rfam family "Small Cajal body specific RNA 4". From Rfam's summary of the family: scaRNAs are a specific class of small nuclear RNAs which localise to the Cajal bodies and guide the modification of RNA polymerase II transcribed spliceosomal RNAs U1, U2, U4, U5 and U12. Lineage: Eukaryota; Metazoa; Chordata; Aves; Coliiformes; Coliidae. The record is from Rfam by way of RNAcentral.
ACUGGAGAGCUGAUCAGACUGGGUCUGAAGAGUGAGACUCAGAUGACAGUAGCCUCCUAAAAGAAAAUGGAUGGAGAGAGCAGCCCUACUUACAGAGAAAGAAAGGGCUGACUGUGCCACCCAACACUU